Chrysolophus pictus (golden pheasant) is the source of this 1679-nucleotide long non-coding RNA. The record is from Ensembl. NCBI's taxonomy places the organism in Eukaryota, Metazoa, Chordata, Aves, Galliformes, Phasianidae.
GGGAGGGCAGAGCGGCGGUGUCUGCAAAGGUCAAAGGUCACGGGGUGACCCCAAAAGGUCGUGGGGUCCCUAAAGGUCGUGGGGUGUCCUUAGAGGUCACGUUAAGGACAUGUCAGUGACACGCUAAGGACACGGCAGGGAAACAACAAGAACACGCUAAGGACACGUCAAGGACAUGUUAGUGACACGCCAAGGACAUGUUAAGGAUACGUCAGGGACACGCCAAGGACAUAUUGGGAACACGUCAAGGACACGGUAGUGACAUGCUAGUGACAUGUCAUGGACAUGACAAGGACAUGUUACUGACAUGACAAGGACACGUUAAGGACAUGUUAGUGACACGUCAAGGACACGUUAGUGACACGUCAAGGACAUGUUAGGGACACGUCAAAGACAUGGUACAGACGAGACAAGGACACGUUAAGGACACAUCAAGAACACGUCAAAGACAUGUUAGUGACACGUCAGGAACACGUCAAGGACACGCUAGUGGCAUGUUAAAGACACGUCAAUGACACGCCAGUGACCCUUUGGGACACUUUGGGAAGCCCGUGGCGACGCGUUAAGGAACAUGUCAAGGUCAUAUCAGUGACAUGUCAGGAACACGCCAAGGACACGCGAGCGACACGUCAGUGACACGUCAACGACAUGCCAGUGACCCGCCGGGGACCCUUGAAGGACCCCACGUUGUCACCCCGCCACCCUGCCGGCUCCCAGCCGGCUCCGGCGCGGCGCACACGCCAAGCACACGCCAAGCACACGCCAAGCACACGCGUGUCACAGGAAGUAAUCGGCCACAGGCUUCUUGGAGGGGAUCCCACGCGUCUCCUGCGGCGCCGCCUCGAAGAUGAUGAACUCCUUCUGCAGGUGCUCGUCCAGCUCCAAGAUGGCCGCCACGUUCCCGCACCUGCCCCACACAACAUUGCCACCCCAUAACGACCCCAUAGGGACACACAGGGACCCCACAGGGACCCCAUAGAGACACAGACCCAUAGGGACCCCAUAGAGACCCCAUAGGGACACAGACCCAUAGGGACUCCAUAGGGACCCCAUAGGGACCCACAGAGCUCCAAGACGGCCGCCACGUUCCCACACCUGCCCCACACACCAUUGCCACCCCAUAACGACCCCAUAGGGACCCAUAGAGACCCCAUAGGGACCCACAGAGCUCCAAGAUGGCCGCCACGUUCCCGCACCAGCCCCACACAGCAUUGCCAUCCCAUAACGACCCCAUAGGGACCCAUAGAGACCCCAUAGGGACACAGGGACACAGACCCAUAGGGACCCCAUAGGGACCCACAGAAUUCCACAGAGACCCAUAGAGAGCCAUAAGGACCCAUAGGGACCCCAUAAGGACGCCAUAGGGACCCAUAGAGACCCCAUAGUGACACAGACCCAUAGAAACCCACAGAAACCUCAUAGAGACCCAUAGAGAGUCAUAAUGACCCAUAGGGACCCAUAGGGACCCCACAGGGACACAGACCCAUAGGGAUACAUAGAGACCCCAUAAGGAUGCCAUAGGAACCCCAUAGGGACACAGACCCAUAAGGACCCAUUGAGACCCCAGAGAGACCUCACAGGGACCCCAUAGGACCCAUAGGGACCCCACAGAGACCCCAUACGGACCCCAUAGGGACACACACCCAUACGAAACCCACAGCCCCCCAUAGAGACCCCAU